Molecule: transfer RNA, 73 nt
Filed under: Corynebacterium phocae
Lineage: Bacteria; Bacillati; Actinomycetota; Actinomycetes; Mycobacteriales; Corynebacteriaceae
Also listed under: 1 other name
Rfam family: tRNA
About the family: Transfer RNA (tRNA) molecules are approximately 80 nucleotides in length. Their secondary structure includes four short double-helical elements and three loops (D, anti-codon, and T loops).
Source: Rfam by way of RNAcentral
GCGGCUUUAGCUCAGCUGGGAGAGCAAUUGGUUUACACCCAAUAGGUCGGGGGUUCGAGCCCCUCAGGCCGCA